RNAcentral lists this unclassified non-coding RNA (332 nucleotides) under soil metagenome. Its description in RNAcentral is "partial contains 5.8S ribosomal RNA, internal transcribed spacer 2, and large subunit ribosomal RNA". The stretch from base 1 to 120 matches the Rfam family "5.8S ribosomal RNA", at positions 35 to 154 of the family's 154-position model. The record is from RNAcentral.
GAUGAAGAACGCAGCAAAAUGCGAUAAGUAAUGUGAAUUGCAGAAUUCAGUGAAUCAUCGAAUCUUUGAACGCACAUUGCGCCCGCCAGUAUUCUGGCGGGCAUGUCUGUUCGAGCGUCAUUUCAACCCUCAAGCACAACUUGGUGUUGGGACUCGCGUUAAUUCGCGUUCCCCAAAUUGAUUGGCGGUCACGUCGAGCUUCCAUAGCGUAGUAGUAAAACCCUCGUUACUGGUAAUCGUCGCGGCCACGCCGUUAAACCCCAACUUCUGAAUGUUGACCUCGGAUCAGGUAGGAAUACCCGCUGAACUUAAGCAUAUCAAUAAGCGGAGGA